This is a long non-coding RNA of Gouania willdenowi (blunt-snouted clingfish), 1951 nucleotides long. The record is from Ensembl. Lineage: Eukaryota; Metazoa; Chordata; Actinopteri; Blenniiformes; Gobiesocidae.
AGUGAAUCAGACGCCACAGGCAGCAUGGUGCAGCUCAUUUCCAGCCAUUACGCGGUUAAACCCAAAUCCACAGGAAAAGACAAAGCCAGCAAUAAAGUCCCUAAUGGCUCGAAUCCUCGUCUUGUCAUCAGACCAACUAUUAACAUGAUGUGGUCAUCCACAUUUAAAGUAAGUGAACGAGUCUUUACUUUAACUCUUUAAAUGUUAUUCUCAGCAUAUCAAGUCUAAUUUUUGCUCAGUUGAAUUUAAUUAAAUGAUGAUCUGCCUUAAAGACUAACGUAUGUGAAGGUCCAAGCCACAACAAAGCCACUGAAAAAUCUACCUGGCAGAAGUAAGAUAGCAAUGCAAACACAAAGAAAGAAACUUUUACUUUGGUUUUUACAGCAUUUGGUGUGUUUGUUGACUUUGUCCAGGAAAGAUGUUUUUGCAUUCAGCCUGGAUUCACCACUGAAAAUACGGGUAAAUAUUUUUAUUGUCCAUUAUUUAGAAUCAGUAAAUCACCAAAUUCUCCCUCGUGGAAUAAAUUGAGGUCUAUCAAAUUUGAUUGUAGGGUGUGAACAAAACCCUCACUGACUCGUCAAACCAAAUGCAGAGUGACAUCAACGGUUCCUCAUCUUGCCUAGUUUCAACCAAGAGAGGACAACCCGAGCCAAAAAGCAAGCGACAUGUGAAGAAACAUCUGUUUAGUGACACGGACCCGGAUGAUGCAAAGACAGAUUACAGCUGGCUGAGAGAGUCCAGCAGGAAACCAAAACCCAAAGUGACCAAAUAUAGCAGACAGGCUCCCAUCAAAGCAGCUGCUGUAGAACCUCAAACUUCAGGUGAUUCCUCAGAUCUACGUCCACCUCCUCCAAGUGCUGCAGUUAAUGGAAGCAAACCCAACAAGAAAAAUACACACCUAAAGAAUGAAAUGAACCGUCCAAAGAAGUCAGUGGGAGCAGCAGCAGCUGCUGCAUUCAGUAAAGGACCCACAGCUGCAAAGAGACCCAAGAGAGCAGCAGCCAGAUCUACCAAAAACUACAAGGAGCCAGAUACUGAUGACAGCCACUCAGAAUCAGAAAAAGCUCCUCCUCCCAAGGACACGUAUUUGUCAGCUUGUGAACCACUGAAGACAGAUCUGAAGAAUAAUAAUGAACGUGAGGUGGCAAACACAAAGAGGACUAACUGUGUCAACCACAAACUGAACAAAUACAUUUCUAAGGAAUGUAAGGAUGUUUAUGAAGUCACAAACCUGAACAAAAGCAAAAUCCCACCAGUCCAAGAGAAGAGGAUCUCACCACAGCACUCCUGGGUUAUGGGAAGGACUUGCCUCAGUCCGUCUCCAGUCGGGAUCAUUGAGAAGAUGAGAUGUUUUAUUGAGACUCUUAAAGAUGACAAGAGGUCAGUCCCAACCCUGGAUGUGAGCUGCUCCCCUCUCUGUAGUCUGCAGGGAACCCCGCUACUCGCAUCUCCCAACCCUUGCUGCCAGGAGGUCCCCUCCCCAAUCCCGCUGCUUCACAAACCUCUUUCUACAGUUUCCAGUAAAGCAAAGGGCAAGACCUCCUCUUUUCACAGUACAAAUAGAAAACACAGUUCAUCCAAGAAACAGUCCAUCCCCUCUCCCACUCCUCCUGGAGGUCACACUCCUGCACUCAGUCCUUCCUUUGGAUUCAAUGCAACAGAGGAGAAUCUCUUUUCAGCACCUCAGUCUCCUUUGUCUCUGCCCACUGAGCCCCUCUUAACGUCCACAGCCAUUGAGCAGGUGAAGCCACAGGUGCCCUCUCCCUCUCAGUCACCAUAUCCUAAAGACUCUGACUACGGACAGCGUUUUGCCUUUGCUAAGAAGCUCCCAGUGUUCAAGGCUUCUCUGAGCCAGUCAUCUUCAAAGUCAUCAGUCGUUACUGGCAGAAUCAAAGAGAGCCCCUCUCCACCUCAGAAUGUGUCUCCUAAAAUAGAGGUGGGAUUAGGCUGA